CUCAUUAAAUCAGUUAUAGUUUAUUUGAUGGUCUCUUUUGUCUUUUUUUACCUACUUGGAUAACCGUGGUAAUUCUAGAGCUAAUACAUGCGCAAGGUCCCGAGCGCGGGGGGCAGGGCUUCACGGCCCUGUCCUCACAUGCGCAGAGGGAUGUAUUUAUUAGGUUAAAAACCAGCGUAGUCAGCAAUGGCUACAAACUCCCCUGGUGAUUCAUAGUAACUCUUUCGGAUCGCAUUCAUG
Molecule: ribosomal RNA, 240 nt
Filed under: uncultured Acanthamoeba
Lineage: Eukaryota; Discosea; Longamoebia; Acanthamoebidae
Description: partial 18S ribosomal RNA
Rfam family: Eukaryotic small subunit ribosomal RNA
Source: RNAcentral